Molecule: long non-coding RNA, 248 nt
Filed under: Marmota monax (woodchuck)
Lineage: Eukaryota; Metazoa; Chordata; Mammalia; Rodentia; Sciuridae
Source: RNAcentral
CCUCACUUCCUCUUGUAUGUAAUUUUGUAUAACCCUGAGGGUCUCCUUCCAUUUCCAUGCAAUUUCCCUUCUCUCUCCCUUUCCCUCCCACCUCUCAUCCCUGUUUAAUGUUAAUCUUCUUCUCCUGCUCUUCCUCCCUACUCUGUUCUUAGUUACUCUCCUUAUAUCAAAGAAGACAUUUGGCAUUUGUUUUUUAGGGAUUGGCUAGCUUCACUUAGCAUAAUCUGCUCUAAUGCCAUCCAUUUCCC